GAUGAACGCUAGCUACAGGCUUAACACAUGCAAGUCGAGGGGCAGCAUGAACUUAGCUUGCUAAGUUUGAUGGCGACCGGCGCACGGGUGCGUAACGCGUAUCCAACCUUCCCGUUACUCAGGUAUAGCCUUGCGAAAGUAAGAUUAAUCCCUGAUGACAUAUGUUUGCUGCAUGGUGAACAUAUUAAAGAUUGAUCGGUAACGGAUGGGGAUGCGUUCCAUUAGGUAGUUGGUGAGGUAACGGCUCACCAAGCCCGCGAUGGAUAGGGGUUCUGAGAGGAAGGUCCCCCACACUGGAACUGAGACACGGUCCAGACUCCUACGGGAGGCAGCAGUGAGGAAUAUUGGUCAAUGGACGAGAGUCUGAACCAGCCAAGUAGCGUGCAGGAUGACGGCCCUCUGGGUUGUAAACUGCUUUUAGUGGGAAUAAAAAGNGGGACGUGUCCCUAAUUGUAUGUACCAUCAGAAAAAGGACCGGCUAAUUCCGUGCCAGCAG
RNAcentral lists this ribosomal RNA (496 nucleotides) under uncultured bacterium. RNAcentral describes it as "bacterial SSU rRNA". It matches the Rfam family "Bacterial small subunit ribosomal RNA", at positions 28 to 514 of the family's 1533-position model. The record is from RNAcentral.